UUCUGACUGAUGGGGAGGCUGGGGCAGCCACAGGGCUUCAGGACAUAGGACACUGGGCUGGGGGGUUUACACCCACCUAUCAGAACCUUAGAACAACCCGAUGGUACAACCCAGUUCACAGAUAGGGAAACUGAGGCUCAGGGAGGUUAAGUUGCUGCUGAAACCAUAAGGCUAGUGACUCCAAAACUAGCCUCUUGCCCACACCAAGCUGCUUUUCUGUAACAGCAUUUACCUGGGGAGACUGGCCGUGAGAGUAGCUCCCAUGGGUUGUGAGUUUGCGGCCUCUCGUGCACCAAGCGCAUAGAGGCUGGGAUGCCGCAAACGGUAAAUGUGAAGGGUAGCCUCUAUGGUCACUUGUUCCUUUUCCAAGCUAAGGGGUUUAAGUGACACGGUCAAGGCCUCAAGACUGCCUAAAUAGCUGGGGAGCUGAGCAUUGGAGUCAGGCUUGGCUCGUAGAAGCUCUGCUCUUGACCUUGACCCCUGGCAGCCUCCUGGAGGUGUAGUGGGGUUACUCUCUGUAACAGUGCUCCCCCACUGAGGAGCUGAUGCCCCCUCUGUAGCUCAGCCUCUGCCAGAGGCUGCCCCCUGGUGUCUGCUUGGGACUUGCAGGAGGUGAGUUGAUCGUGUGCCAGGUCCGUCUUUCCUGUCCACGGGGUGUUGGUGUCCGGUCUUAUCCCAGACCCCUGGGAUCACAGGAGAAUCAGCAGAGUGACCUUGGCCAAGCAUCACCUAGGAAUACUUGGCUCGGCCUUGCUCCCCCACUGGGGAGAAUGUCUGGGCACUUGUACUGGGACUCUACCAAGAUGUCCCCUCCCUUCUCCACCUUCUGAUCAGCCGAGUCCUGCCCAUCCCUCAGAGUCUGGCUCCUUUCCUCCCCUUUCAGGAAGCACACCCAGGUGCCUUCCUCUUUCUUCCUUCAUUCCUCCCUCUGAGAAGUGCUGAUGGGCUGCCGAUGGUGCUUCAGGCCAGGGGGGGACACUGAGGAGGAAACAAUCUCCCAAACUCCCUGCUGAGCGCUUGGAGAAGCAGGUCACUAGGAACAGAGUAGGGGGAAGCCAGGGAAGGUGCGUCUAACGAAUGCACGCGCUACAGCCAGGCAGACCAGGUGGCCCAGGUGGAGAUGCAGCCCAGGCGAAGGCUAGGGAUGAGGAGAGACAGCCUCCUUCUGGGCACCAGCUGCCUGUUAGGUCCCCAGAGACAUUGACAUGACGGUACGUGGUGCAGGUGGGUUGUUACGGAGAUCAGCAGCCUGUGUGCACACCAGCUGGCACUGUUUUUCCGCUCUGAGGCCAGGAGGCUGAGGGAGAUGUUGUUUGCAUGUUUGCUGCAGCUGCCCACGUCUCAGCCACAGAAGGCACAGUAGCCCUGAGCGUGGCUUCCAGGCUCCCCCUGGGUGCCUUCUCACCAGUGCUUUUGUUCUGUUCCUCUGUGCAAGAAAGGAAAAGCUUUUCCUCCCUCCCUGCUGCAGAGCUCCCUCCCCUCUGCAGGGGAGGGUUUCAGUAGAGGCAGCGGCCUGGAACAGUGCGAGUCCCAGGCUUGGAGUGGGAAGACUACUCCAGCCCAGCCCCAUCGUGAACUGUGUGACCUUGGGCAAGUCAUGUAUCUCCAUCUUUGAGCCUUGGUUUCCUUCCUUGUAAAAUGGGGCCUUGCCUGCUCAUUCACACCUCCAUUCCAGAAUGGAAAGUUAGAGGCAGCCCCUGCCCUCACAAGGUAUCGUGGUUCUUAACUCUGAGUCACAGAGUUCUUUGAGAACAGGUUGAAACCAAUGGAAUAUCUCCCAGAAGAAGUGGGCCUAUGUACAUAUAAAAUAAUAUGUCUAGCAUUUAAAGAAGUUCUGGACUCUGGAAGCCCAGUGUCCUGGCCUGCCCACAGGGUUGAGAGAGGGAGAGAUGAGGCAAAGGGUGAGAUUUCACUUUGUAAAUUGACAUGUGCAAUUCACAUGGAUGGUAGUGAUCAGCAUUACAUUCUUCCUUUAUUCUUGGUGAUGCCAGCCCACGACUCCAGCACUAAACCAAGUUGAUUCACUCUGCCCUUGACAGAGAUUGUCUUGUUCCCUGGUAUCUGGAAGCUUGAUUUUCUUUCCAUAUUACAGGUGACUCGGGGAAAGGCACUCAGCCUUCACAGUGUGGCUCUAGGCCAGCCCUGCUGAAGUAAAGAGUGGAUCCAGGCUAGACCCAGCAGAGUUUGAAUUCAGAGCCAUGAAUCAAACAUCCUUCCCUUGCUUCUCCAAGGGCCUGAGAACCUGAAAAUUCCUUUCUAGGACUUUCCACACCAAAAGUUGUCUGGGAAUGAGCCCCAGCCUCUGCUCUAAGUUCCCCAGUGGAGGUAAAGCCUGAUGGCAUCUUCCUUUUCCUCCCAUAUUGCAAGCCUUCUGGAGCUGGUGGCAACCAGCAGUACUCCUUGGCCGUGGGUGUGGAAAAUGGAGCUCAUCCAUGUGCCCCAGAGGAUGUGAGUCACAAAUGGAAUGUCCUCUCCAGUUGAAACAGCCCAGUCCAUGGAGACGGACCUAGGCACAUGAGUUUAGGCAUUCACGAUGGCAAGACUGAAAAUGUGAAUACCCUGGUGUUCAGCACACACCUGACCUCAGAGUUACCGGAAUUUACCUGCACAGAGCACCUGCUCUCCCUAAAGGAGCAGGCUUGUGUUAAGUACAUAGGGAUUUGUCACCACCUGAUAUCUGUACCCUGAUCAGAGAGUUCCAGUUGCCUGCCGACUAUGAAGGUCUCAUUGACUGUAUAAACAAUGACAUUUUGUAAACUUGGUGAAUUCCCCAGCAGUCUUUGCCAGUAGGUCAUGCAGGUAGGUAGCUGUAAGUGUUGAGCCCUGUUUGACCAUCUCACGUGGAUACCUCCAAGUUUUGUGGCCAGAGAAAUGUUAAAGAGAAGCCCCAGAGGUCACCUGCCUGAGGCCCUCGUGCCAGGAGGAGAGAGCAGAACAGACCAGCCAGGGAGAAAGGAAACUGGUUGGUUGAGCAAGCUGUCUCCACGAGACACUGAGCUGUCAGCCUUGGGCAGGGAAGUGGGAUUGUUUUCCCCAUUUUACAGAAAGAUGACAAAAUGGCUCGAGGGCCCAGAACUGGUUCUCCUUUGUGGUGGGGGCUCCAAUCCAGGGCUCACUCUUAUCUUCCCAGCUUAUCUUGUUGCCAGGUGGGCAGGGAUGUGUCUGCCACUGGGCACAGCCCUUCCCAACUCUGCAGGUAGUUUGCAGUGGGUCAUGGUGGGAGUACAAAUCAACCCCCAACUGAGAGCUAGUUGUUAACAUUUACCAGCACACCACUGCCUGCAGGAGCUGCCCUCUCCUGUCCUUUGAGGUCCUUGUUUCCCAGCCACCAAGCUGCCCUUAAAAUACAUGAGCGAGACUGGGUUUUAAACCUACACAGUAUAUCAACUAUAAUCCAAAAACAGACACAGUGCCCCCCCAAAAUAAGUAAUAAACCUGCACGGUCACUAGUU
Manis pentadactyla (Chinese pangolin) is the source of this 3452-nucleotide long non-coding RNA. RefSeq lists it as uncharacterized. The transcript has 2 exons. The record is from RefSeq and is a predicted model, not a curated record. NCBI's taxonomy places the organism in Eukaryota, Metazoa, Chordata, Mammalia, Pholidota, Manidae.